AAGGCCCUACUGUGCUCGUGCAAGGAAAGUAUUUUUUAAAACCUACAAACGUCGUAUCGGGAUCUUUUAUUUAUUGGCCGGUAGAUAUGGUUAAUAAUGAGUGCCCACCUUGAAAAAGGGUUGAUUAAAAAAUUCUUCUCACGGCAGCAGUGGAGCCUUU
RNAcentral lists this non-coding RNA (160 nucleotides) under Candidatus Scalindua sp. RNAcentral's name for it is "6S RNA". It matches the Rfam family "6S / SsrS RNA". Rfam says of the family: E. coli 6S RNA was the first non coding RNA to be sequenced, but its function was unknown until recently. It consists of 184 nucleotides that fold into an extended hairpin structure with a large single-stranded internal bulge. The record is from RNAcentral. Lineage: Bacteria; Pseudomonadati; Planctomycetota; Candidatus Brocadiia; Candidatus Brocadiales; Candidatus Scalinduaceae.